This 1512-nucleotide long non-coding RNA is filed under the name Lotus japonicus. Its description in RNAcentral is "long non-coding RNA (LJAP_LNC000542)". Lineage: Eukaryota; Viridiplantae; Streptophyta; Magnoliopsida; Fabales; Fabaceae. The record is from RNAcentral.
CCAAAUUAAUUUAAUUUAAUAUAUAUAAUCUUUAAACAAAGGGUCAGCGUCAGGAGAAAAUUGAAUAGAAUGUUAUUAAAAAAAAGCAAAAGAAGAAAAAUAUUUGGUUAAAUAAUUAAUUAAAAAACAUCGAUUUAAUCUAAUUGAUAACCUAUAACGGAUGUGUAAUUAAAUGAGAAUGACACGUCAUUACUAACAGUGUAACAUACAAAAUUUGCCUCUCAUAAAUAAUGCCUUGAAUUUGGUGUAUGUUAGAGAUACAUAAAGAAAUCGACAUAAAAUGUCCCUAAAUUUAACUUAAAAUAAAAGAGAAAAUAUAGUGAUCAAUGUAUUUGAUAAAUGUCAUAUCAUAUAGAAUUAAAACCGUAUCAUAUAAACUCUUUUUGAAGCUUUCCAGUUCUUAGGUUAUGCCGGAUGGCAGGGGUGUUCAUAACCGAACCAAUCCAAACAAAACCGACAAACUGAUCAAAAAAACCGAAAUCCAAUCAAACCGAAAACCGAACGGACUGAAAAUUGAAAAAACCGAAAUUAUUUAUUGGAUCGGAUCGGAUUUCGGAUUUGAUUUUCAAAACCGAACUAAUCCAAUCCAAACCGAACAUUCACAAAUAUGUAUACUUUUAAUUAUACAUAUAUCAUUUCAUUUACACUUACAUAAUACAUAUUUAUUGUAUAUAUAUUGAUUAUAUCACACAUGCUUAUUUAUAAAAUUACGUUUUAAUAAAAAAAGUUCAAAUAAUUAUUUAAACUAUAUACAUGCAUCAAAGUAAACAAUUAUAAUCAUAAUUUAAAAAUAUGUUGACUAUGUUAUAAUUUAUAAAUGCUAUAUUAAUGUUAUAAAUUUUGUAUCGUUGUAUUUAUCAUAUAUUAUAUAUUUUUAAAAUUUAUACAACACAGUUUCAAAGUAUAAAAAAGUGAAACAAAAACCGAACAAUCCAAUCCAAUCCAAACCACUAUAGAUUGGAUCGGAUUGGAUCGGAUUGGUUCGAAUUUGGAUUUAGUAAAAUAUCCAUUAGAUGACAAAAUCAUAAAACCGAUGAGAUCGAAUCGGAUGAUUUUUCUCCUCAAAACCGAUCCAAUCCAAUCCGCGAACACCCCUACCGGAUGGUGGAUGGACAAUGACACUGUUUUUCAUUUCUUUAUGCAAACAUACUCUCUCCGUUCCUAUAUAAAACUGACACUUUAAGGUUGUUGCACAAGUAUUAAAAAUUAACAAUUAAUAUUUUUGUUUUAUUAAAAUUACAAAUUAAAUCUAACUUCCUAUUUAUCUCUCUUAAUAAUUCUAAUUUUUCAAUUUUCCUACCACCAAUAAAUGAAGGGUACAAUUGAUAAAGUAUAAUUAAUGCUCUCUUGAACUUUAUAAAGUGACAGAUAAUUAGGAACAAAAUUUAGCUAGAAAUAGUGUCAGUUACACCCUUCGAUCACUAUUAUAAGCAAAAAACAAGUUUUUAAAUUCUUUAAUAAAUAUAUAUCAUUUAUUGAAUGAAUUGAAAUGUUGUUUUUUUUGCUUAUANN